UAUUCUGGUGUCUUAGGCGUAGAGGAACCACACCAAUCCAUCCCGAACUUGGUGGUGAAACUCUACUGCGGUGACAAUACUGUAGGGGAAGCCCUACGGAAAAAUAGCUCGAUGCCAGGAUGAAAAAAAAGUUUAACAACUCCUAUUCUUUUUCAGAGGUCGUCUUCUUCAAAACCCGAUAUCGAUAUCCUUUUCCUUUUACUCUACACUUAGAAAUGUAAUACCUUUCUUUAUACUUUAUAAAGUUUAUAAAGAAAACUCCUAAACGUCCGCAUCUUAUUAGCCAUUCUAUCGGUCUAAAAAAGGUUACUUUUGAAAAAGAAAAAGGCACCUAGUAAUAAAUCCAGUGGAGACG
This 355-nucleotide ribosomal RNA is filed under the name Barbella flagellifera. The record is from RNAcentral. Lineage: Eukaryota; Viridiplantae; Streptophyta; Bryopsida; Hypnales; Meteoriaceae.